This 251-nucleotide ribosomal RNA is filed under the name uncultured bacterium. RNAcentral describes it as "partial 16S ribosomal RNA". It matches the Rfam family "Bacterial small subunit ribosomal RNA", at positions 57 to 305 of the family's 1533-position model. The record is from RNAcentral.
GCAAGUCGAGGGGUAACAUUGUAGCUUGCUCCAGAUGACGACCGGCGCACGGGUGCGUAACGCGUAUAGAACCUACCUUUUUCUGGAGAAUAGCCUUUAGAAAUGAAGAUUAAUGCUCCAUAGUCUUUCGACUUGGCAUCGAGAUGUAAUUAAAGAUUUAUUGGUAAAAGAUGACUAUGCGUCCUAUUAGUUAGAUGGUAAGGUAACGGCUUACCAUGACAACGAUAGGUAGGGGUCCUGAGAGGGAGAUC